RNAcentral lists this transfer RNA (67 nucleotides) under Marmota monax (woodchuck). RNAcentral's name for it is "tRNA.Ala". Lineage: Eukaryota; Metazoa; Chordata; Mammalia; Rodentia; Sciuridae. The record is from RNAcentral.
GGUUGUGGCUCAGCGGUAGAGCGCUCGCCUAGCACGUGCGAGACCCUGGGUUCAAUCCUCUGCACCA